Molecule: long non-coding RNA, 1976 nt
Organism: Athene cunicularia (burrowing owl)
Lineage: Eukaryota; Metazoa; Chordata; Aves; Strigiformes; Strigidae
Exons: 2
Source: RefSeq, a predicted model, not a curated record
GGAGGAGCCGUGUGUGGCUUUUGGUGACCCCACGCAGCUACACGAGCCCCUCGGGCUUUUCCCCGCUGACAGAUCUACAAGAAAGAGUAACAACUGUUUAGGGGAUGAAUGAAAUUUAUGGAAUGAACAAACUUAAAAACAUAUUCCUGCCCUCUCAUUUUAAUUAUUUUCCAGCAUUCAUUACAAAAUUAUAUUACAAAUGUAUAUAAAGUCGUCUCUGUUGCCUAUUUAAAUGCAUCUGUUACGUUUUAGUGACAAUAAUGUUCUACCUUUUGUUGGAAACUUAUAAAAGAAUCAAGACUGUUUGAAAAAAGUAAGAAAUUGAAAUUUAAUCUUGUUUUACCUAAACAGUUAGAGAACUUGUAGGGAAAUGUUCAUCAGAUGUGAACACUGAUCUCGCUCGUGACUCAGUAUGCUCCAUAAAUAGAACACAUACUGACGUUAUAUUUCAGCAGAUGCAAAUCAUCUCCCUUUUUCAUUAUGCUGUGUGUCAAAGGGUCAUGCCAAGAUUUUUCACUUUUUGCAGGACAUUUCUGCUUAUCCUUUUAAAGGUGAAAUCAAGAACCCAUGUUUGUGCUAUCUUUAAUUCUAGAUUAAAUACAGGUAAUGAUUAAAUAAAAACUGUAAGGAGUUAAUUCUAGGUAGCUAGAAAAGUUGAGGGAUUUUUAGUCAGGCUGUUCAAAAUCAGUUUUGGUUUUCUCUUUCCAGUAUCUUAUUUUAAUGAGAACUUCACCAUCUGAAGAAAGGUCAUCUGAAAAGUUUCAAGUACUCCACCUUCUUCGAUUAGCAUCUUGCUCAUAAGAAUUCGUUCUGAACUUUCCAGCAGAUUCAUUCAACAAAACUAGGGAAGAUAAUGACACCUCUGAAGAAAAAACCCCUUCAGACUUGAGAAAAAAGUAACAGUCAUAAGGAGAGAAAUGCCCACUUGGAAUAUUAAAAGAAUGUCUGCAAGCCAUAUUUAGAGCAGGUUAAUUUUUAUGCCAUAGGAAGUAAUAGCAUCUUUCUGCAUAUUACUGCAUAUUUCAAAGUAUGCAACUAUUUAAUCUGUUAAAUGCUAAGUUGCAUUUUACAACAAGUAUAAACAUAUUGUUUCUUUCUUUGAAAAUGGCAAUUGCAAUAGAUAAUCCAAUUAACUGCAGCAGCCUAGGUCUCAUUUUUAAACAACUGGGACGUCUGUGUUGCCACAGGACACAGCCACUACAUUAUUCCAGUUUGCUGAGGUACUGAUAGCAAUCUAACCAACCUAACAGAGCUCAACGUAUGUCCAUUUACCUGCUUCUCAGCUGCAGCAGAAGUAACUGCAGGGCAGAUGUAACCCCUCUGACUAUGAUAAGCAGCUUUGCUAAGAUCAUCUCUUCACUCUGACUUCACUGUUCUCAUAUUUGAUAAAUCUGUUAUAUGUCCUUUUUCCUCUUAACUAAAAGAUCACUUACAAGCUCAGACUCAUUUGUGACUAUGAAGGCCCGAGUACUUGUUAAAGCCUUUGGAACAUUUUUCUUCUAUUAAGAAGACACAGGAGUACCAAUAUGUACUUGAUACUUUGUUUUCAUUAGUAUAAUUACAAUACAUUCUGGACAGUUACAAAAUCUAAGGAAUCACGUUUUCUCCAUAAAUUUCUAUUGCAAACUUCAAACAUUUGGGUGCCUUUCCAUUACUUCUGCACACUUUUCCUACAAUCUUAGUAAGGAGUACAGCAACCCUGUUUGUUUUUUUUGUUUUUUUGUUUUUUUUUUCAUCAGCUUUUAGUUCUGCUUUGUGACUCAGGCUUUGAUGUCCACCUUGAAUGCUGGUUCAGCUGCUUAGUUAAAAGCCUGCAGCUAGUCUCUCCAUGUUACACCAAUUCAACAGAGGAUAUUUCCACUGGGACAGUUUAGAAAAGGUACAUAUGCAAAAUGAUUUCUGGGUCACUUAGAGCAGUAGCAUUUAGCAUAUCUCUAAAGUCAAAUCCUGCUCUAGAUCAGAACAAAUCCAAUGAA